GAUGAAGAACGUAGCGAAAUGCGAUAAGUAAUGCGAAUUGCAGAAUUCAGUGAAUCAUCGAAUCUUUGAACGCACAUUGCGCCCGGUAGUAAUCUGCCGGGCAUGCCUGUCCGAGCGUCAUUUCAACCCUCGAACCACUAUUCGCGUAGCUGGAUCGGUGUUGGGGCACUACGGUGGAAUACCCGUAGGCCCCGAAAUGAAGUGGCGGUCCCGCCGCGGCGCCCCCAUGCGUAGUAACAUCUCGUCUCGCAUCGGGUCCCGGCGGAGGCCUGCCGUCAAGCCUAUUUUCUAAUUACAGAUGGUUUGACCUCGGAUCAGGUAGGGUUACCCGCUGAACUUAAGCAUAUCAAUAAGCGGAGGA
This 361-nucleotide unclassified non-coding RNA is filed under the name soil metagenome. Its description in RNAcentral is "partial contains 5.8S ribosomal RNA, internal transcribed spacer 2, and large subunit ribosomal RNA". The stretch from base 1 to 120 matches the Rfam family "5.8S ribosomal RNA", at positions 35 to 154 of the family's 154-position model. The record is from RNAcentral.